This 253-nucleotide ribosomal RNA is filed under the name uncultured Allobaculum sp. Its description in RNAcentral is "partial 16S ribosomal RNA". It matches the Rfam family "Bacterial small subunit ribosomal RNA", at positions 524 to 776 of the family's 1533-position model. Lineage: Bacteria; Bacillati; Bacillota; Erysipelotrichia; Erysipelotrichales; Erysipelotrichaceae. The record is from RNAcentral.
UACGUAGGUGGCGAGCGUUAUCCGGAAUGAUUGGGCGUAAAGGGUGCGCAGGCGGUCCUGCAAGUCUGGAGUGAAACGUAUGAGCUCAACUCAUGCAUGGCUCUGGAAACUGGAGGACUGGAGAGCAGGAGAGGGCGGUGGAACUCCAUGUGUAGCGGUAAAAUGCGUAGAUAUCAAGAGGAAUACUCAUUGCGAAGGCGACCUACUGGAACAUUACUGACGCUCAUGCACGAAAGCGUGGGGAGCAAACAGG